UACAGAGGGUGCAAGCGUUAAUCGGAAUUACUGGGCGUAAAGCGUGCGUAGGUGGAUAUUUAAGUUGGAUGUAAAAGCCCUGAGCUUAACUUGGGAAGGACAUCUGAAACUGGAUAUCUUGAGUACAAUAGAGGGAAGCGGAAUUUCCGGUGUAGCGGUGAAAUGCGUAGAUAUCGGAAAGAACACCAGUGGCGAAGGCGGCUUCCUGGAUUGAUACUGACACUGAGGUACGAAAGCGUGGGGAGCGAUCAGG
This 253-nucleotide ribosomal RNA is filed under the name uncultured bacterium. RNAcentral's name for it is "partial 16S ribosomal RNA". It matches the Rfam family "Bacterial small subunit ribosomal RNA", at positions 524 to 776 of the family's 1533-position model. The record is from RNAcentral.